GCAGCGAAAUGCGAUAAGUAGUGUGAAUUGCAGACUUUAGUGAAUCAUCGAAUUUUUGAACGCAUAUUGCGCCUUUUGGAAUUCCAUUAGGCAUGUCUGUUCAAGCGUCAU
Molecule: ribosomal RNA, 111 nt
Filed under: Lichinella iodopulchra
Lineage: Eukaryota; Fungi; Ascomycota; Lichinomycetes; Lichinales; Lichinellaceae
Description: 5.8S ribosomal RNA
Rfam family: 5.8S ribosomal RNA
About the family: 5.8S ribosomal RNA (5.8S rRNA) is a component of the large subunit of the eukaryotic ribosome. It is transcribed by RNA polymerase I as part of the 45S precursor that also contains 18S and 28S rRNA.
Source: RNAcentral